RNAcentral lists this ribosomal RNA (468 nucleotides) under uncultured bacterium. RNAcentral describes it as "partial 16S ribosomal RNA". It matches the Rfam family "Bacterial small subunit ribosomal RNA", at positions 28 to 507 of the family's 1533-position model. The record is from RNAcentral.
GACGAACGCUGGCGGCGUGCUUAACACAUGCAAGUCGAACGGAAAGGCCCUGCUUUUGUGGGGUGCUCGAGUGGCGAACGGGUGAGUAACACGUGAGUAACCUGCCCUUGACUUUGGGAUAACUUCAGGAAACUGGGGCUAAUACCGGAUAGGAGCUCCUGCUGCAUGGUGGGGGUUGGAAAGUUUCGGCGGUUGGGGAUGGACUCGCGGCUUAUCAGCUUGUUGGUGGGGUAGUGGCUUACCAAGGCUUUGACGGGUAGCCGGCCUGAGAGGGUGACCGGGCAGAGUGGGACAAAGUGGCGGAGCAGACGGCUGCGGGAGGCAGAAGUGCGGAGUCGGGCAGGAUGGGCGGAGGCCUGAAGCAGGAAUGCCGCGUGGGGGAGGAGGGAGUGCGGGUGGUAAACAAAGAUCCCCCGUGAACAAGCGUGAAUGACGGCGAGGUGGAGAGAAGCAGAGCCCAACUAGGCU